Bombyx mori (domestic silkworm) is the source of this 84-nucleotide non-coding RNA. The record is from Rfam. Lineage: Eukaryota; Metazoa; Arthropoda; Insecta; Lepidoptera; Bombycidae.
UUAACUCAAAUUUGUAUGAAGUUUGAACGUUCGUCCACGUUUGCCGCUAGGGGCGCUGUUCCAACUGCAUACAAAUUUGAGUUA